CAGUGGGCAGACGCCGUGCAGCAUCCGGGGACCAACUCCAGUUCGUCUUGCCAUGCCUCGGUCCGGGGCACAGACAGCAGUACUAACCGUAACAUGCAUGUCUUUUUUGAUGAUGGGGGAAACCGGAGCGCCCGGAGAAAAGCCACCACAGACACAGGGGGAUCAUGCAAAGUCCACACAGAGGACGAUCUGGGAUGACCCCAAAAGUUGGACAAACCCUGGGGUUCGAACCCAGUACCUUCUUGCUGUGAAACUUCUUUAAUGCCAUCCAUUCACACGCACUGGAUAGGAGAGGAGCAUAUAACAAGAUCUCUGUCUGUUUCUUUGGCUAUUUCUCUAGCAGCAAGAGGUAAGUCUUCCAGUUUUUCUUAGUACAUGAUGAUGCUGGUCGCGUGGCUUGGGUCCUGGACUGCUCCGUUGGCACGUGGACACUGCUUGGCAUCCUGGGCAUCAUGUUCUUCAUAAAUUUUAUGUCCAUUAUAAUUCUGUUAUCCUCUUUCAAUGUUGUAUUAUGUAAAUUGCAUGAACACAACAUCCAUUGCACGCUGUCCGUCUUGGGAGAGAGAUCCCUCCUCUGUUGCUCUCCCUGAGGUUUCUUCCUAUUUUUUCUCCCUGUUAAAGGGGUUUUUUAGGGAGUUUUUCCUUAUCCGAUGAGAGGGUCUAAGGACAGGAUGUUGCGUUGCUGUUAAGCCCACUGAGGCAAAUUUGUAAUUUGUGAUAUUGGGCUAUACAAAUAAAAUUGAUUUGAUUUGAU
This is a long non-coding RNA of Lampris incognitus (smalleye Pacific opah), 754 nucleotides long. RefSeq lists it as uncharacterized. The transcript is spliced from 3 exons. Lineage: Eukaryota; Metazoa; Chordata; Actinopteri; Lampriformes; Lampridae. The record is from RefSeq and is a predicted model, not a curated record.